CUCCAAAUGGAGUGAUUCAAAAAGAGAAUUAAAGAAGACACAAUAAGAAGCAACUUUGAUGAAGAGAGUGUAGUCAAAUUUCUACUGUAGAAAUGUCCAAUGGAAUAAUAAACAUAAGCCAUGGAAUCUGAAAAUUUGAAAUAACGUUUAAUAAGAUUUGAAAUGAAAUUUGCAAUAAAUACCAACAAUUGUAGAAUUCAAAAUGUGGUAUAUUGGUGUCAUUAGAACUAACAUACCUAUUAUUUAUGAAAAAGUCAACAUUUUGAUUGACUAGUAAGGUGAAUAGUAACUCUUAAAUAUCAAAUACAAUGAAUUACACAAUUAACUUUGUAAUAUGCCCUAUUAUGCCUAGUAUGAUUGGUUUGAAUAGGUUACCAUGCCAAUAGGGUUCUGAUAGCAAUAAUGCAUAUGGUUUUAUACCAUUUCGUGAUUUAUGGCAUUUGGUGCCAUUUUGUAAUAUUAUGGUCUAUGGCCAUUCUGCAAUACUUGAUACACUUGGAGAUGUAUUACGGCUUUGUGCCUAAUGAUUAUUACGGCUUAUCAGCUAUUCUGUUACACACCUGGAGACACUUUGUGACCGAUGGUG
This 586-nucleotide unclassified non-coding RNA is filed under the name Hevea brasiliensis (rubber tree). Lineage: Eukaryota; Viridiplantae; Streptophyta; Magnoliopsida; Malpighiales; Euphorbiaceae. The record is from RNAcentral.